RNAcentral lists this ribosomal RNA (482 nucleotides) under uncultured bacterium. RNAcentral describes it as "bacterial SSU rRNA". It matches the Rfam family "Bacterial small subunit ribosomal RNA", at positions 32 to 524 of the family's 1533-position model. The record is from RNAcentral.
AAUCAACGCUGGCGGCGUGCCUCAGACAUGCAAGUCGAACGAUUAAAGCUCUCUUCGGAGAGUGCAUAGAGUGGCGCACGGGUGAGUAACACGUAAGUAAUCUACCUUCGAGUGGGGAAUAACGUCCGGAAACGGACGCUAAUACCGCAUAAUGCAGCGGCAUCGCAAGAUGACAGUUGUUAAAGGAGCAAUUCGCUUGAAGAGGAGCUUGCGGCAGAUUAGCUAGUUGGUAAGGUAAUGGCUUACCAAGGCUACGAUCUGUAACCGGUCUAAGAGGACGGUCGGUCACACUGACACUGAAUAACGGGUCAGACUCCUACGGAGGCAGCAGUCGGGAAUUUUGGGCAAUGGCGAAAGCCUGACCCAGCAACGCCGCGUGAAGGAUGAAGUAUUUCGGUAUGUAAACUUCGAAAGAAUGGGAAGAAUAAAUGACGGUACCAUUUAUAAGGUCCGGCUAACUACGUGCCAGCAGCCGCCGUAAC